GGGAGAGUGCGAUGUUGGCAUGGUUCAAUCAAACCGGGCAAACUUAUGCACUAGCUAAGCAAGAUGCAGGGAUACGCAGUAUGGUUUUGUUUGGUCUGAUUGAGCCGUGCCAAUAUCACAAGCUUGC
Molecule: microRNA precursor, 127 nt
Filed under: Oryza sativa Indica Group (long-grained rice)
Lineage: Eukaryota; Viridiplantae; Streptophyta; Magnoliopsida; Poales; Poaceae
Source: RNAcentral